AGGAUAUUGUGGGGAAUAUGGUCAUCUUGGGAAGAAAGCCCUAAUAGAGUGAUUAUUUUGCCAUCUUGUGCUAUGUAAACCCCCAAAAUUUGAUUAAGACAAAGCAUUUAUUAUUAAGCACAGAUGCGAGGGCUGGGUGAGUGCAUUUUGUCUAGGACCAGCCUCCCUGGGGCCCCAUGUCCCGGGCAGCUUUCCGAGGGCCAGUGAAGGAUUCACCAUCCAUCUGGCCGCUGGCUUGACGUCAUCCAUCAGGUUAGUCACACUCCUGCAUGUGGCGGUCCAAGGUCGUCCCCCGCAGUGGAGAGGGCAGGCCCCAGUGCACAGGCCCCUCUUCACGUUCAUCACCUAAGCUGCUGCUCUAUCAGACCUGCACCCAGUUAUUCAGUGAUGCCUGCUGAGUGGGCGUAGCAGGAGGAUAAAAUCCGCACUGAGCCCCCCGUGUCCUCCAGCCAGCCAAGGCACUUACACACACGCAUGCACACACAUGUGCGGUAGAUCAGAUCUCCCCUUCGGACACAAGGGAACCACUGCAGAGGGGGCAGGAAGACGGCCGAGAAUCACACAGCACCAGCAAAAGAAAUCAGCUGCUGCGUCUCCUGCUGCCUGCCUGCACGUUUCCUGGAGCUCCACAUCCAUGCUGUUUCCUAGGAAACCAUCACACGGCCCACAGGGCUGUCUGCCUGAAAGAGGGGGGUGGUCCGUCCAGGGCCCACUCCCUCUUUUCCUGCAUCAGCGACGCUGCGGCCCUUUGUCAGCGCGUUAAUGUGGCGAAAACAGAAUGCCCAGAGCUUGCCGCUGGGAUUACAUUUCCAGCGAGAUGUUUGUGCUCACUGAAGGACCAGGUUCACUGAGCUUCUCGCCGGUCAGAGCAAGCGUUUGUAUCCGCUGGCCGUCCUGCAGCAGGCAGAGUGGGGAGUGGUGUCUGGAGACGGCCCGAAAGUGGAGGGCGAGUCUUCGGUCUUCCUGGUGGUUCUGCUUGUAUCGCCUCGAGGAAACAACUCCAUCAACCGAACACACGCGGAACUGCCGCUCAGCUGGCCACCGGCACGUAACUCACGAAGCAUUUUAAAAAGCAAGUAUCCUCUGUUUUGAUGCUCAUGCAGAGAUGAGUGCCUGGCUCAGAAGGGUAAAUGCACGUGCAUCUGCCUCUCCUCCUGGACUGUUAGGUUCGUAAGGGCAGGACCGUGUCUGUCUUAUUAAUAUGUGAACCCCACUGCCCAGCACUGUAAAUAUUCACCGAUAAAUACACGAAUAAAGAAGUGAAAACAGGAGAAAGAGAUGUGAUG
RNAcentral lists this long non-coding RNA (1286 nucleotides) under Bos mutus (wild yak). RNAcentral's name for it is "lncRNA (ENSBMUG00000009945.1)". The record is from RNAcentral. Lineage: Eukaryota; Metazoa; Chordata; Mammalia; Artiodactyla; Bovidae.